AACGAACGCUGGCGGCAUGCCUAACACAUGCAAGUCGAACGAGACCUCCGGGUCUAGGGGCGCACGGGUGCGUAACGCGUGGGAACCUGCACUUAGGGUCGGAAUAACUCAGAGAAAUUUGAGCUAAUACCGGAUGAUGGCUUCUGACCAAAGAUUUAUCGCCUUUAGAUGGGCCCGCGUUGAAUUAGGUAGUUGGUGGGGUAAAGGCCUCCCAAGGCGAGGAUCAAUAGCUGGUCUGGGAGGAUGAUCAGCCACACUGGGGCUGAGACACGGCCCGGACUCCUACGGGAGGGAGCAGUGGGGGAUAGAGGAACAUGGCCGAAAGCAUGAUCCAGCUCUGCCGCGUGAGUGCUGAAGUCAUUAGGGUUGUAAAGCUCAUUUAACCGAGAUGAUAUUGACGGUAUCGGGAGAAAAAGCUCCGGCUAACUCCGUG
RNAcentral lists this ribosomal RNA (433 nucleotides) under uncultured bacterium. Its description in RNAcentral is "partial 16S ribosomal RNA". It matches the Rfam family "Bacterial small subunit ribosomal RNA", at positions 29 to 507 of the family's 1533-position model. The record is from RNAcentral.